AUGCUCACCUCAGCAGCACAUCUACUCAAAGUAAAACAUACAAAGAAGAUUAGCACGGUCUCUAUGUAAAGAUGACAUAAAAAUUCAUGGAAGAGUCCACAUUUUUU
This 107-nucleotide small nuclear RNA is filed under the name Carlito syrichta (Philippine tarsier). The record is from RNAcentral. Lineage: Eukaryota; Metazoa; Chordata; Mammalia; Primates; Tarsiidae.